This 225-nucleotide ribosomal RNA is filed under the name uncultured Eubacteriales bacterium. RNAcentral's name for it is "uncultured Clostridiales bacterium partial 16S ribosomal RNA". It matches the Rfam family "Bacterial small subunit ribosomal RNA", at positions 109 to 334 of the family's 1533-position model. The record is from RNAcentral. Lineage: Bacteria; Bacillati; Bacillota; Clostridia; Eubacteriales.
AGUAACGCGUGAGUAACCUGCCUUACACAAGGGGAUAGCCGUUGGAAACGACGAAUAAUACCCUAUGAAACUAUCACUUCGUAUGAAGCGAUAGUCAAAGUGUUAGCGGUGUAAGAUGGACUUGCGUCUGAUUAGCUAGUUGGUGAGAAAAAAGCACACCAAGGCAACGAUCAGUAGCCGGCUUGAGAGAGUGUACGGCCACAUUGGGACUGAGACACGGCCCAG